CCUACGGGAGGCAGCAGUGGGGAAUAUUGGACAAUGGGGGGAACCCUGAUCCAGCCAUGCCGCGUGUGUGAAGAAGGCCCUCGGGUUGUAAAGCACUUUCAGUGAGGAAGAACGCCUGGUGGUUAAUACCCAUCAGGAAAGACAUCACUCACAGAAGAAGCACCGGCUAACUCCGUGCCAGCAGCCGCGGUAAUACGGAGGGUGCGAGCGUUAAUCGGAAUUACUGGGCGUAAAGCGCGCGUAGGUGGCUUGAUAAGCCGGUUGUGAAAGCCCCGGGCUCAACCUGGGAACGGCAUCCGGAACUGUCAAGCUAGAGUGCAGGAGAGGAAGGUAGAAUUCCCGGUGUAGCGGUGAAAUGCGUAGAGAUCGGGAGGAAUACCAGUGGCGAAGGCGGCCUUCUGGACUGACACUGACACUGAGGUGUGAAAGCGUGGGUAGCAAACAGGAUUAGAUACCCUGGUAGUC
RNAcentral lists this ribosomal RNA (465 nucleotides) under Vreelandella stevensii. Its description in RNAcentral is "partial 16S ribosomal RNA". It matches the Rfam family "Bacterial small subunit ribosomal RNA", at positions 338 to 795 of the family's 1533-position model. Lineage: Bacteria; Pseudomonadati; Pseudomonadota; Gammaproteobacteria; Oceanospirillales; Halomonadaceae. The record is from RNAcentral.